RNAcentral lists this ribosomal RNA (876 nucleotides) under uncultured bacterium. RNAcentral describes it as "bacterial SSU rRNA". It matches the Rfam family "Bacterial small subunit ribosomal RNA", at positions 46 to 916 of the family's 1533-position model. The record is from RNAcentral.
GCUUACCAUGCAGUCGAGGGGCAGCAUUUCAGUUUGCUUGCAAACUGGAGAUGGCGACCGGCGCACGGGUGAGUAACACGUAUCCAACCUGCCGAUAACUCGGGGAUAGCCUUUCGAAAGAAAGAUUAAUACCCGAUGGUAUAAUUAGACCGCAUGGUCUUGUUAUUAAAGAAUUUCGGUUAUCGAUGGGGAUGCGUUCCAUUAGGCAGUUGGUGAGGUAACGGCUCACCAAACCUUCGAUGGAUAGGGGUUCUGAGAGGAAGGUCCCCCACAUUGGAACUGAGACACGGUCCAAACUCCUACGGGAGGCAGCAGUGAGGAAUAUUGGUCAAUGGGCGCAGGCCUGAACCAGCCAAGUAGCGUGAAGGAUGACUGCCCUAUGGGUUGUAAACUUCUUUUAUAUGGGAAUAAAGUUUUCCACGUGUGGAAUUUUGUAUGUACCAUAUGAAUAAGGAUCGGCUAACUCCGUGCCAGCAGCCGCGGUAAUACGGAGGAUCCGAGCGUUAUCCGGAUUUAUUGGGUUUAAAGGGAGCGUAGGUGGACAGUUAAGUCAGUUGUGAAAGUUUGCGGCUCAACCGUAAAAUUGCAGUUGAUACUGGCUGUCUUGAGUACAGUAGAGGUGGGCGGAAUUCGUGGUGUAGCGGUGAAAUGCUUAGAUAUCACGAAGAACUCCGAUUGCGAAGGCAGCUCACUGGACUGCAACUGACACUGAUGCUCGAAAGUGUGGGUAUCAAACAGGAUUAGAUACCCUGGUAGUCCACACAGUAAACGAUGAAUACUCGCUGUUUGCGAUAUACAGUAAGCGGCCAAGCGAAAGCAUUAAGUAUUCCACCUGGGGAGUACGCCGGCAACGGUGAAACUCAAAGGAAUUGACGG